GAUGAACGCUGGCGGCGUGCCUAAUACAUGCAAGUCGAGCGAACGGACGAGAAGCUUGCUUCUCUGAUGUUAGCGGCGGACGGGUGAGUAACACGUGGAUAACCUACCUAUAAGACUGGGAUAACUUCGGGAAACCGGAGCUAAUACCGGAUAAUAUUUUGAACCGCAUGGUUCAAAAGUGAAAGACGGUCUUGCUGUCACUUAUAGAUGGAUCCGCGCUGCAUUAGCUAGUUGGUAAGGUAACGGCUUACCAAGGCAACGAUGAAUAGCCGACCUGAGAGAGUGAUCGGCCACACUGGAACUGAGACACGGUCCAGACUCCUACGGGAGGCAGCAGUAGGGAAUCUUCCGCAAUGGGCGAAAGCCUGACGGAGCAACGCCGCGUGAGUGAUGAAGGUCUUCGGAUCGUAAAACUCUGUUAUUAGGGAAGAACAUAUGUGUAAGUAACUGUGCACAUCUUGACGGUACCUAAUCAGAAAGCCACGGCUAACUACGUG
RNAcentral lists this ribosomal RNA (497 nucleotides) under uncultured bacterium. Its description in RNAcentral is "partial 16S ribosomal RNA". It matches the Rfam family "Bacterial small subunit ribosomal RNA", at positions 28 to 507 of the family's 1533-position model. The record is from RNAcentral.